UUUAUGGAGAGUUUGAUCCUGGCUCAGGAUGAACGCUGGCGGCGUGCCUAAUACAUGCAAGUCGAGCGAACAGAUAAGGAGCUUGCUCCUUUGACGUUAGCGGCGGACGGGUGAGUAACACGUGGGUAACCUACCUAUAAGACUGGAAUAACUCCGGGAAACCGGGGCUAAUGCCGGAUAACAUGUUGAACCGCAUGGUUCUACAGUGAAAGACGGUCUUGCUGUCACUUAUAGAUGGACCCGCGCCGUAUUAGCUAGUUGGUGGGGUAACGGCCUACCAAGGCGACGAUACGUAGCCGACCUGAGAGGGUGAUCGGCCACACUGGAACUGAGACACGGUCCAGACUCCUACGGGAGGCAGCAGUAGGGAAUCUUCCGCAAUGGGCGAAAGC
This 392-nucleotide ribosomal RNA is filed under the name Staphylococcus pseudintermedius. RNAcentral describes it as "bacterial SSU rRNA". It matches the Rfam family "Bacterial small subunit ribosomal RNA", at positions 1 to 382 of the family's 1533-position model. Lineage: Bacteria; Bacillati; Bacillota; Bacilli; Caryophanales; Staphylococcaceae. The record is from RNAcentral.